AUUGAACGCUGGCGGCAUGCUUUACACAUGCAAGUCGAACGGUAACAGGCCGCAAGGUGCUGACGAGUGGCGAACGGGUGAGUAAUGCGUCGGAACGUGCCCAGUCGUGGGGGAUAACGCAGCGAAAGCUGUGCUAAUACGGCAUACGAUCUAUGGAUGAAAGCGGGGGACCGUAAGGCCUCGCGCGAUUGGAGCGGCCGAUGUCAGAUUAGCUAGUUGGUGGGGUAAAGGCCCACCAAGGCGACGAUCUGUAGCUGGUCUGAGAGGACGACCAGCCACACUGGGACUGAGACACGGCCCAGACUCCUACGGGAGGCAGCAGUGGGGAAUUUUGGACAAUGGGCGCAAGCCUGAUCCAGCAAUGCCGCGUGCAGGAAGAAGGCCUUCGGGUUGUAAACUGCUUUUGUACGGAACGAAACGGUCUGGGUUAAUACCCUGGGCUAAUGACGGUACCGUAAGAAUAAGCACCGGCUAACUACGUGCCAGCCGCCGCAGUAC
This 498-nucleotide ribosomal RNA is filed under the name uncultured bacterium. RNAcentral describes it as "partial 16S ribosomal RNA". It matches the Rfam family "Bacterial small subunit ribosomal RNA", at positions 29 to 523 of the family's 1533-position model. The record is from RNAcentral.